RNAcentral lists this unclassified non-coding RNA (72 nucleotides) under Aneurinibacillus migulanus. Lineage: Bacteria; Bacillati; Bacillota; Bacilli; Caryophanales; Paenibacillaceae. The record is from RNAcentral.
GAACGCCGUGUGCCAUGAAAGUGGCCCGCACGGUGUAGGCUCGAACGAAAGCCCACAAAUAGAUAAGGGUAU